RNAcentral lists this transfer RNA (77 nucleotides) under Boseongicola sp. Its description in RNAcentral is "tRNA-Arg". It matches the Rfam family "tRNA". From Rfam's summary of the family: Transfer RNA (tRNA) molecules are approximately 80 nucleotides in length. Their secondary structure includes four short double-helical elements and three loops (D, anti-codon, and T loops). Further hydrogen bonds mediate the characteristic L-shaped molecular structure. tRNAs have two regions of fundamental functional importance: the anti-codon, which is responsible for specific mRNA codon recognition, and the 3' end, to which the tRNAs corresponding amino acid is attached (by aminoacyl-tRNA synthetases). tRNAs cope with the degeneracy of the genetic code in two manners: having more than one tRNA (with a specific anti-codon) for a particular amino acid; and 'wobble' base-pairing, i.e. permitting non-standard base-pairing at the 3rd anti-codon position. Lineage: Bacteria; Pseudomonadati; Pseudomonadota; Alphaproteobacteria; Rhodobacterales; Paracoccaceae. The record is from RNAcentral.
GCGCUGGUAGCUCAGCUGGAUAGAGUGCUUGACUACGAAUCAAGAGGUCGGGGGUUCGACUCCUCCCCAGCGCGCCA